Molecule: ribosomal RNA, 95 nt
Organism: Rhizobium sp. YS-1r
Lineage: Bacteria; Pseudomonadati; Pseudomonadota; Alphaproteobacteria; Hyphomicrobiales; Rhizobiaceae
Source: Rfam
GGCUGCACCCGUUCCCAUUCCGAACACGGCCGUGAAACACCCCUGCGCCAAUGGUACUUCGUCUCAAGACGCGGGAGAGUAGGUCGCUGCCAGGU